UAACACAUGCAAGUCGAACGGCAGCACAGAAGAGCUUGCUCUUUGGGUGGCGAGUGGCGGACGGGUGAGUAAUGUCUGGGAAACUGCCCGAUGGAGGGGGGUAACUACUGGAAACGGUAGCUAAUACCGCAUAACGUCGCAAGACCAAAGUGGGGGACCUUCGGGCCUCACACCAUCGGAUGUGCCCAGAUGGGAUUAGCUAGUAGGUGGGGUAAUGGCUCACCUAGGCGACGAUCCCUAGCUGGUCUGAGAGGAUGACCAGCCACACUGGAACUGAGACGCGGUCCAGACUCCUACGGGAGGCAGCAGUGGGGAAUAUUGCACAAUGGGCGCAAGCCUGAUGCAGCCAUGCCGCGUGUAUGAAGAAGGCCUUCGGGUUGUAAAGUACUUUCAGCGGGG
This 399-nucleotide ribosomal RNA is filed under the name uncultured Pantoea sp. RNAcentral describes it as "bacterial SSU rRNA". It matches the Rfam family "Bacterial small subunit ribosomal RNA", at positions 49 to 444 of the family's 1533-position model. Lineage: Bacteria; Pseudomonadati; Pseudomonadota; Gammaproteobacteria; Enterobacterales; Erwiniaceae. The record is from RNAcentral.